CGACUCCAUGAAGCUGGAUUCGCUAGUAAUCGCGCAUCAGCCACGGCGCGGUGAAUACGUUCCCGGGCCUUGUACACACCGCCCGUCAAGCCAUGGGAGCCGGGAGUGCCUGAAGUACGUGACCGCAAGGAGCGUCCUAGGGUAAGACCGGUGACUGGGGCUAAGUCGUAACAAGGUAUC
RNAcentral lists this ribosomal RNA (180 nucleotides) under uncultured bacterium. RNAcentral describes it as "partial 16S ribosomal RNA". It matches the Rfam family "Bacterial small subunit ribosomal RNA", at positions 1313 to 1500 of the family's 1533-position model. The record is from RNAcentral.